CCCAACAGCACCAUCCACGGAAUCUAGAGACAAGGAAGAUAAGUGCCCAGAACUGACAUUAAGGACAUAAACAUUCCACUUGGUUACUUGUACAGCUUUUUUGAAAAAAAUAAAUUCAACACAUGGAAGGUCAUGAGAGGAAGUAGGGACAGAAGGUCAGCUAAUAGUGCAUAUGGAGGACAAUACAGGACUUGCAAUGCGGCCAUGGAGAAGACAAGGAAACUGUAUUCCUAUAUGCUUUGUAUGAAGAAAUGAUCUAAGAGUGAGGAGUCCACUAAGGGUUAGUUUGACCAAAGUUGCAAAGUCGGAUCUAAGCUUACAUUGAAGACAAAAGUGUUGAAUCAGGAGAGUUGUGAAAGAUAUGGUUCUUUUUUUCCCUUUUUUCUUUUCUUUUCUUUUUUUGGGUUAGAUUGCAAGGGAGU
Molecule: non-coding RNA, 422 nt
Organism: Peromyscus maniculatus bairdii (prairie deer mouse)
Lineage: Eukaryota; Metazoa; Chordata; Mammalia; Rodentia; Cricetidae
Source: RefSeq, a predicted model, not a curated record